Long non-coding RNA from Hippocampus comes (tiger tail seahorse), 1107 nucleotides. RefSeq lists it as uncharacterized. The transcript has 2 exons. The record is from RefSeq and is a predicted model, not a curated record. Lineage: Eukaryota; Metazoa; Chordata; Actinopteri; Syngnathiformes; Syngnathidae.
GCCUACAAGGUGUUCUGAACCCACCACACCAGCCCCGGUCCAGAUUCUGGCUGUCAAGUCCCAACCUUGCUCUUCCGCGCACUCCAAGCGGACAACGAGGCGCUCUAAAGCCUACAAGAGGAUUGGGUCCAAACGAGCCCGCUGCCUAAAGAAGCGGUGGUUUUGACGGUUGUCGGUUGGGCCUACGCCCCCUCCCCCGCCAUCCCCCGUGCGCACGACGGCACUUUGGACCUCUCGUUGGGGGUUGCAAAGGUUGCACGGCGUCUCCCUUCAUCGGUAAGCCGCGGCGGCCAGCCUUUGAACGCCACGUUGAGGAUCGUCCAGUCAAAACAGCAGCAGCGAUGCCGAACGGUCUGUGAUGAUGACCUUUUUACGCGGCGUUAUUAAACAUGACAAAGCUGGCGCUGAUUGCCAUUCUUGAGAGCGUUUAACUCAGUUGAAAAUAGCAGCCAAGCCAGCCGGCGAAAUAACCUUGCCGCGCUCAAAAAAAAAAAAAAAAAAAAAAAAAAAGGGGUUAUCAAUCCUCACAAUCGUCUCGGUGUCUCUCUGCUACUAGGCUGCCUUGGCGGAGGCUGGGACAGAAUUUUAAAAAUGUGCAACAAGAUGAGAAGAGAAAGAAGAAGGGGGAGGAGGGAGGAGGGGGGGGGCUGCUUUGGAUGCCACAGUCUUGAUGACGGUUGUGAACAAAUUGCAAAGUUGAAGCCGUAAUGAUUGCUCAGAACGGUGGUUGAUUUGCCUUUGCAAACGUUUGCGACCUUGCUGGGGAAACCCCCCCACCCCCCUCCUCAACAUUCGCGAUGUGCGCACCCAUUCGCAAACCGCCGCCGCUCAGUGAGACGCGGUCCAGUGGCGAAUUUUACGGGCUAGUAUUAAUCUCGUAGAGAAGAAAGUGUUGGUCGCGUCGCCUGUCGGUGGUUGGAGCCGCUUUUGAUGUCAUAUCAAAGUCUGCUUGCAAAAGACGAGCCGAUUGUCAUGCUGAUGCGCUCCCAAAUUGUCUGCUUGCUAUACAAGGGGUGAUUUUUUUUUUAAAGGCUGUUGCGGUGAUUCACUCUCAAUAAUUCCGCUGGAUAAAGACUCGGUCAUAUUGUAGAUUGAAGCGUUCAAAAA